This 710-nucleotide ribosomal RNA is filed under the name uncultured Bacteroidota bacterium. RNAcentral's name for it is "bacterial SSU rRNA". It matches the Rfam family "Bacterial small subunit ribosomal RNA", at positions 70 to 775 of the family's 1533-position model. The record is from RNAcentral. Lineage: Bacteria; Pseudomonadati; Bacteroidota.
AAGGGGCCUUUCGGGGCCCCGGAGACCGGCGGAUGGGUGAGUAACGCGUAGGUAAUCUGCCGUUAGGCCGGGGAUAACAUCGCGAAAGCGGUGCUAAUACCGGAUGAUGCAGCGGCCCCGCAUGGGGACAGUUGUUAAACCCUUCGGGGGCCUAACGAUGAACCUGCGUGCCAUUAGCUAGUUGGUAGGGUAACGGCCUACCAAGGCGAUGAUGGCUAGGGGGUCUGAGAGGAUGAUCCCCCACACUGGGACUGAGACACGGCCCAGACUCCUACGGGAGGCAGCAGUGAGGAAUCUUGCGCAAUGGGGGCAACCCUGACGCAGCCACGCCGCGUGCCGGAAGACGGCCCUAUGGGUUGUAAACGGCUUUUACCAGGGAAGAACCCGGAGGUUUCGAUCUCCGCUGACGGUACCUGGUGAAUAAGCACCGGCUAACUCCGUGCCAGCAGCCGCGGUAAUACGGAGGGUGCAAGCGUUGUCCGGAAUCAUUGGGUGUAAAGGGUGCGUAGGCGGAAGCCUAAGUCGGGGGUGAAAUCCUGCCGCUUAACGGCAGAAUGGCCUUCGAUACUGGGUUUCUUGAGUCCGGAAGAGGUUGGUGGAAUUCGUGGUGUAGCGGUGAAAUGCAUAGAUAUCACGAAGAACACCGGUGGCGAAGGCGGCCAACUGGUCCGGUACUGACGCUGAGGCACGAGAGCGUGGGGAGCGAACAG